This 1439-nucleotide ribosomal RNA is filed under the name Streptococcus thermophilus. Its description in RNAcentral is "bacterial SSU rRNA". It matches the Rfam family "Bacterial small subunit ribosomal RNA". Lineage: Bacteria; Bacillati; Bacillota; Bacilli; Lactobacillales; Streptococcaceae. The record is from RNAcentral.
AACGCUGAAGAGAGGAGCUUGCUCUUCUUGGAUGAGUUGCGAACGGGUGAGUAACGCGUAGGUAACCUGCCUUGUAGCGGGGGAUAACUAUUGGAAACGAUAGCUAAUACCGCAUAACAAUGGAUGACACAUGUCAUUUAUUUGAAAGGGGCAAUUGCUCCACUACAAGAUGGACCUGCGUUGUAUUAGCUAGUAGGUGAGGUAAUGGCUCACCUAGGCGACGAUACAUAGCCGACCUGAGAGGGUGAUCGGCCACACUGGGACUGAGACACGGCCCAGACUCCUACGGGAGGCAGCAGUAGGGAAUCUUCGGCAAUGGGGGCAACCCUGACCGAGCAACGCCGCGUGAGUGAAGAAGGUUUUCGGAUCGUAAAGCUCUGUUGUAAGUCAAGAACGGGUGUGAGAGUGGAAAGUUCACACUGUGACGGUAGCUUACCAGAAAGGGACGGCUAACUACGUGCCAGCAGCCGCGGUAAUACGUAGGUCCCGAGCGUUGUCCGGAUUUAUUGGGCGUAAAGCGAGCGCAGGCGGUUUGAUAAGUCUGAAGUUAAAGGCUGUGGCUCAACCAUAGUUCGCUUUGGAAACUGUCAAACUUGAGUGCAGAAGGGGAGAGUGGAAUUCCAUGUGUAGCGGUGAAAUGCGUAGAUAUAUGGAGGAACACCGGUGGCGAAAGCGGCUCUCUGGUCUGUAACUGACGCUGAGGCUCGAAAGCGUGGGGAGCGAACAGGAUUAGAUACCCUGGUAGUCCACGCCGUAAACGAUGAGUGCUAGGUGUUGGAUCCUUUCCGGGAUUCAGUGCCUCAGCUAACGCAUUAAGCACUCCGCCUGGGGAGUACGACCGCAAGGUUGAAACUCAAAGGAAUUGACGGGGGCCCGCACAAGCGGUGGAGCAUGUGGUUUAAUUCGAAGCAACGCGAAGAACCUUACCAGGUCUUGACAUCCCGAUGCUAUUUCUAGAGAUAGAAAGUUACUUCGGUACAUCGGUGACAGGUGGUGCAUGGUUGUCGUCAGCUCGUGUCGUGAGAUGUUGGGUUAAGUCCCGCAACGAGCGCAACCCCUAUUGUUAGUUGCCAUCAUUCAGUUGGGCACUCUAGCGAGACUGCCGGUAAUAAACCGGAGGAAGGUGGGGAUGACGUCAAAUCAUCAUGCCCCUUAUGACCUGGGCUACACACGUGCUACAAUGGUUGGUACAACGAGUUGCGAGUCGGUGACGGCGAGCUAAUCUCUUAAAGCCAAUCUCAGUUCGGAUUGUAGGCUGCAACUCGCCUACAUGAAGUCGGAAUCGCUAGUAAUCGCGGAUCAGCACGCCGCGGUGAAUACGUUCCCGGGCCUUGUACACACCGCCCGUCACACCACGAGAGUUUGUAACACCCGAAGUCGGUGAGGUAACCUUUUGGAGCCAGCCGCCUAAGGUGGGACAGAUGAUUGGGGUGAAGUCG